CACCCCUUUUUCAGUACUGAGAAUCUCUAUAACCCUAUAGAGCCUUUUAUGCUAAAACUAGUAACAAGAGACACCCCUCUCCUUAAUGCAAAUUUAACCCAGUAAGAAUAAAUCACUGGCAAUUAACAGAAUUAAAUAAACGUAGUAACUUCACUAGAAAACCCUACCUAUCUCACUGUUAACCUUACACUAGAGCAUUACAAGAAAGAUUAAAAGAAAAAGAAGGAAUUCAGCAAACUAUAACCCCGCCUGUUUACCAAAAACAUCGCCUCUUGCCUUACAUAAGAGGUCCCGCCUGCCCAGUGACCCUGUUCAACGGCCGCGGUAUCCUAACCGUGCAAAGGUAGCGUAAUCACUUGUCUUUUAAAUAAAGACCAGUAUGAAAGGCACCACGAGGGUUAAACUGUCUCCUUUUUCCAAUCAGUGAACCUAAUCUCCCCGUGAAGAAGCGGAGAUGUCCACAUAAGACGAGAAGACCCUAUGGAGCUUUAAACAUCAUAACACCUGCUAAAUCCAAAAUAUCCCGGUUACUCCUAUACAGCAUGCUGAUUAUAAGUUUUUGGUUGGGGUGACCACGGAGAAUAACUUAUCCUCCACAAUGAAGGGGGAGCUCCCCUAAACAAUAAGUUACAACUUUAUGUAUCAACUAAUUGACAUCCAUUGACCCAACAUUUGAUCAACGAACCAAGUUACCCUAGGGAUAACAGCGCAAUCCACUUUGAGAGCUCCUAUCGACAAGUGGGCUUACGACCUCGAUGUUGGAUCGGGGUAUCCUAGUGGUGCAGCCGCUAC
Molecule: ribosomal RNA, 792 nt
Filed under: Pristimantis sp. ZSFQ 584
Lineage: Eukaryota; Metazoa; Chordata; Amphibia; Anura; Strabomantidae
Description: partial large subunit ribosomal RNA
Rfam family: Bacterial large subunit ribosomal RNA
Source: RNAcentral